RNAcentral lists this ribosomal RNA (496 nucleotides) under uncultured bacterium. Its description in RNAcentral is "partial 16S ribosomal RNA". It matches the Rfam family "Bacterial small subunit ribosomal RNA", at positions 29 to 507 of the family's 1533-position model. The record is from RNAcentral.
AUGAACGCUGGCGGCGUGCCUCAUCCAUGCAAGUCGAGCGAACGGACGAGAAGCUUGCUUCUCUGAUGUUAGCGGCGGACGGGUGAGUAACACGUGGAUAACCUACCUAUAAGACUGGGAUAACUUCGGGAAACCGGAGCUAAUACCGGAUAAUAUUUUGAACCGCAUGGUUCAAAAGUGAAAGACGGUCUUGCUGUCACUUAUAGAUGGAUCCGCACUGCAUUAGCUAGUUGGUAAGGUAACGGCUUACCAAGGCAACGAUGCAUAGCCGACCUGAGAGGGUGAUCGGCCACACUGGAACUGAGACACGGUCCAGACUCCUACGGGAGGCAGCAGUAGGGAAUCUUCCGCAAUGGGCGAAAGCCUGACGGAGCAACGCCGCGUGAGUGAUGAAGGUCUUCGGAUCGUAAAACUCUGUUAUUAGGGAAGAACAUAUGUGUAAGUAACUGUGCACAUCUUGACGGUACCUAAUCAGAAAGCCACGGCUAACUACGUG